GGCUUCAUAGUUAAAAUAAACACUAGUCUGCAGAAUUAGAAAUGCAUUCCUGCUGAGCCU
RNAcentral lists this transfer RNA (60 nucleotides) under Diopatra cuprea. RNAcentral's name for it is "tRNA-Cys". The record is from RNAcentral. Lineage: Eukaryota; Metazoa; Annelida; Polychaeta; Eunicida; Onuphidae.